GUCGAGCGGUAAGGCCUUUCGGGGUACACGAGCGGCGAACGGGUGAGUAACACGUGGGUGAUCUGCCCUGCACUUCGGGAUAAGCCUGGGAAACUGGGUCUAAUACCGGAUAUGACCUCCUAUCGCAUGGUGGGUGGUGGAAAGAUUUAUCGGUGCAGGAUGGGCCCGCGGCCUAUCAGCUUGUUGGUGGGGUAAUGGCCUACCAAGGCGACGACGGGUAGCCGACCUGAGAGGGUGACCGGCCACACUGGGACUGAGACACGGCCCAGACUCCUACGGGAGGCAGCAGUGGGGAAUAUUGCACAAUGGGCGAAAGCCUGAUGCAUCGACGCCGCGUGAGGGAUGACGGCCUUCGGGUUGUAAACCUCUUUCAGCAGGGACGAAGCGCAAGUGACGGUACCUGCAUAAGAAGCACCGGCUAACUACGUGCCAGCAGCCGCGGUAAUACGUAGGGUGCAAGCGUUGUCCGGAAUUACUGGGCGUAAAGAGUUCGUAGGCGGUUUGUCGCGUCCUUUGUGAAAACCAGCAGCUCAACUGCUGGCUUGCAGGCGAUACGGGCAGACUUGAGUACUGCAGGGGAGACUGGAAUUCCUGGUGUAGCGGUGAAAUGCGCAGAUAUCAGGAGGAACACCGGUGGCGAAGGCGGGUCUCUGGGCAGUAACUGACGCUGAGGAACGAAAG
This 681-nucleotide ribosomal RNA is filed under the name Rhodococcus sp. M194_1. RNAcentral's name for it is "bacterial SSU rRNA". It matches the Rfam family "Bacterial small subunit ribosomal RNA", at positions 61 to 759 of the family's 1533-position model. The record is from RNAcentral. Lineage: Bacteria; Bacillati; Actinomycetota; Actinomycetes; Mycobacteriales; Nocardiaceae.